GAUGAACGCUGGCGGCGUGCCUAAUACAUGCAAGUCGAGCGAACGGACGAGAAGCUUGCUUCUCUGAUGUUAGCGGCGGACGGGUGAGUAACACGUGGAUAACCUACCUAUAAGACUGGGAUAACUUCGGGAAACCGUAGCUAAUACCGGAUAAUAUUUUGAACCGCAUGGUUCAAAAGUGAAAGACGGUCUUGCUAUCACUUAUAGAUGGAUCCGCGCUGCAUUAGCUAGUUGGUAAGGUAACGGCUUACCAAGGCAACGAUGCAUAGCCGACCUGAGAGGGUGAUCGGCUACACUGGAACUGAGACACGGUCCAGACUCCUACGGGAGGCAGCAGUAGGGAAUCUUCCGCAAUGGGCGAAAGCCUGACGGAGCAACGCCGCGUGAGUGAUGAAGGUCUUCGGAUCGUAAAACUCUGUUAUUAGGGAAGAACAUAUGUGUAAGUAACUGUGCACAUCUUGACGGUACCUAAUCAGAAAGCCACGGCUAACUACGUG
RNAcentral lists this ribosomal RNA (497 nucleotides) under uncultured bacterium. Its description in RNAcentral is "partial 16S ribosomal RNA". It matches the Rfam family "Bacterial small subunit ribosomal RNA", at positions 28 to 507 of the family's 1533-position model. The record is from RNAcentral.